This 98-nucleotide non-coding RNA is filed under the name Candidatus Parcubacteria bacterium. Its description in RNAcentral is "Parcubacteria bacterium SAM-I sequence". It matches the Rfam family "SAM riboswitch aptamer (S box leader)". From Rfam's summary of the family: The SAM riboswitch is found upstream of a number of genes which code for proteins involved in methionine or cysteine biosynthesis in Gram-positive bacteria. The SAM riboswitch acts at the level of transcription termination control. Lineage: Bacteria; Candidatus Parcubacteria. The record is from RNAcentral.
UACGUAUCAAGAGUGCGAUGAAAGUUCCGGCUUUAUGACUCGCCAGCAACCUACCGAAAGGUAAGGUGCUCCAUCCGGCCCUCACGGGAAGAUGCUUU